CACUAUCGUUAACUGAAUACAUAGGUUAACGAGGCGAACCGGGGGAACUGAAACAUCUAAGUACCCCGAGGAAAAGAAAUCAACCGAGAUUCCCCCAGUAGCGGCGAGCGAACGGGGAGCAGCCCAGAGUCUGAAUCAGCUUGUGUGUUAGUGGAACGGUCUGGAAAGUCCGACGGUACAGGGUGAUAGUCCCGUACACCAAAAUGCACAGGUUGUGAACUCGAAGAGUAGGGCGGGACACGUGGUAUCCUGUCUGAAUAUGGGGGGACCAUCCUCCAAGGCUAAAUACUCCUGACUGACCGAUAGUGAACCAGUACCGUGAGGGAAAGGCGAAAAGAACCCCGGCGAGGGGAGUGAAAAAGAACCUGAAACCGUGUACGUACAAGCAGUGGGAGCACCUUCGGGUGUGACUGCGUACCUUUUGUAUAAUGGGUCAGCGACUUAUAUUCUGUAGCAAGGUUAACCGUAUAGGGGAGCCGCAGGGAAACCGAGUCUUAACUGGGCGUUAAGUUGCAGGGUAUAGACCCGAAACCCGGUGAUCUAGCCAUGGGCAGGUUGAAGGUUGGGUAACACUAACUGGAGGACCGAACCGACUAAUGUUGAAAAAUUAGCGGAUGACUUGUGGCUGGGGGUGAAAGGCCAAUCAAACCGGGAGAUAGCUGGUUCUCCCCGAAAGCUAUUUAGGUAGCGCCUCGUGAAUUCAUCUUCGGGGGUAGAGCACUGUUUCGGCUAGGGGGUCAUCCCGACUUACCAACCCGAUGCAAACUACGAAUACCGAAGAAUGUUAUCACGGGAGACACACGGCGGGUGCUAACGUCCGUCGUGAAGAGGGAAACAACCCAGACCGCCAGCUAAGGUCCCAAAGUCAUGGUUAAGUGGGAAACGAUGUGGGAAGGCACAGACAGCCAGGAUGUUGGCUUAGAAGCAGCCAUCAUUUAAAGAAAGCGUAAUAGCUCACUGGUCGAGUCGGCCUGCGCGGAAGAUGUAACGGGGCUAAACCAUGCACCGAAGCUGCGGCAGCGACACUAUGUGUUGUUGGGUAGGGGAGCGUUCUGUAAGCCUGCGAAGGUGUGCUGUGAGGCAUGCUGGAGGUAUCAGAAGUGCGAAUGCUGACAUAAGUAACGAUAAAGCGGGUGAAAAGCCCGCUCGCCGGAAGACCAAGGGUUCCUGUCCAACGUUAAUCGGGGCAGGGUGAGUCGACCCCUAAGGCGAGGCCGAAAGGCGUAGUCGAUGGGAAACAGGUUAAUAUUCCUGUACUUGGUGUUACUGCGAAGGGGGGACGGAGAAGGCUAUGUUAGCCGGGCGACGGUUGUCCCGGUUUAAGCAUGUAGGCUGGUUAUCCAGGCAAAUCCGGAUAAUCAAGGCUGAGGUGUGAUGACGAGGCACUACGGUGCUGAAGUAACAAAUGCCCUGCUUCCAGGAAAAGCCUCUAAGCAUCAGGUAACAUCAAAUCGUACCCCAAACCGACACAGGUGGUCAGGUAGAGAAUACCAAGGCGCUUGAGAGAACUCGGGUGAAGGAACUAGGCAAAAUGGUGCCGUAACUUCGGGAGAAGGCACGCUGGUGUGUAGGUGAAGUCCCUGCGGAUGGAGCUGAGACCAGUCGAAGAUACCAGCUGGCUGCAACUGUUUAUUAAAAACACAGCACUGUGCAAACACGAAAGUGGACGUAUACGGUGUGACGCCUGCCCGGUGCCGGAAGGUUAAUUGAUGGGGUUAUCCGUAAGGAGAAGCUCUUGAUCGAAGCCCCGGUAAACGGCGGCCGUAACUAUAACGGUCCUAAGGUAGCGAAAUUCCUUGUCGGGUAAGUUCCGACCUGCACGAAUGGCGUAAUGAUGGCCAGGCUGUCUCCACCCGAGACUCAGUGAAAUUGAACUCGCUGUGAAGAUGCAGUGUACCCGCGGCAAGACGGAAAGACCCCGUGAACCUUUACUAUAGCUUGACACUGAACAUUGAGCCUUGAUGUGUAGGAUAGGUGGGAGGCUUUGAAGCGUGGACGCCAGUCUGCGUGGAGCCAACCUUGAAAUACCACCCUUUAAUGUUUGAUGUUCUAACGUUGGCCCCUGACCGGGGUUGCGGACAGUGUCUGGUGGGUAGUUUGACUGGGGCGGUCUCCUCCCAAAGCGUAACGGAGGAGCACGAAGGUUAGCUAAUCCUGGUCGGACAUCAGGAGGUUAGUGCAAUGGCAUAAGCUAGCUUGACUGCGAGCGUGACGGCGCGAGCAGGUGCGAAAGCAGGUCAUAGUGAUCCGGUGGUUCUGAAUGGAAGGGCCAUCGCUCAACGGAUAAAAGGUACUCCGGGGAUAACAGGCUGAUACCGCCCAAGAGUUCAUAUCGACGGCGGUGUUUGGCACCUCGAUGUCGGCUCAUCACAUCCUGGGGCUGAAGUAGGUCCCAAGGGUAUGGCUGUUCGCCAUUUAAAGUGGUACGCGAGCUGGGUUUAGAACGUCGUGAGACAGUUCGGUCCCUAUCUGCCGUGGGCGCUGGAGAAUUGAGGGGGGCUGCUCCUAGUACGAGAGGACCGGAGUGGACGCAUCACUGGUGUUCGGGUUGUCAUGCCAAUGGCACUGCCCGGUAGCUAAAUGCGGAAGAGAUAAGUGCUGAAAGCAUCUAAGCACGAAACUUGCCCCGAGAUGAGUUCUCCCUGAGACUUUAAGUCUCCUGAAGGAACGUUGAAGACGACGACGUUGAUAGGCCGGGUGUGUAAGCGCAGCGAUGCGUUGAGCUAACCGGUACUAAUGAACCGUGAGGCUUAACCUU
RNAcentral lists this ribosomal RNA (2758 nucleotides) under Klebsiella pneumoniae. Its description in RNAcentral is "bacterial LSU rRNA". It matches the Rfam family "Bacterial large subunit ribosomal RNA". Lineage: Bacteria; Pseudomonadati; Pseudomonadota; Gammaproteobacteria; Enterobacterales; Enterobacteriaceae. The record is from RNAcentral.